AUGUGUUAAACAUUUGGAACUGGAGGACCAGUCCAUUUUUACAUUUCACUCAUGAACAUGGUGGGUUUUACAAGUGUUUCUAAUUAAAUUCUACAGAACACAGAUAUCUUAUGUAUACCUUGUUCUAUCAGGGGCAAGCAGAGGUGAAUGAAAAAUCCCUGGAAACUGUUUGGAUUGCUCUGAUGCAGCUCCUUGGUUGUUCAAAGGGAAGGAGGUGGCUGGUGCUGCUUUGUGAAUCUCCCAGUCUUGGUGCAAGUGUUAAAUUUAGUCUCAGAACACUUACUGGAAUUAACUUGGACUCGGAACAGCCGUGGGAUUGAACUCCUCAGGAGUUUUAGAGAGCAGGUGAUCUUAUUUCUGAAUCCCAGUAAGAAUCAGGGGCCUGCAGAGCUCAGCACUGUCAAGAUGAAAGCGCUGGGAAUUGGCACAACUGCUGGGAAUAUUCAGUCUAAGGUGAAUUUUGAUGCUUUCCCUGAGUUGAUGUUUAACCAUUGUGCUUGAGCAGUGGCUCAGGAGAGACUUCCAAGGUUCCACUUCAGGUGAGGCAGCUCUGGGUGGCACCUGGGAUCCCUCUUUUUCUUUGCAUCCUUUCCCAGUCUCUGAGCAGAAAUGCUGCUUGCUUCCUUAUGGGCCUCUCCUGGGGCUAGCACUACUUUCACAGUAGGCUUUGGGACUAUUUCCAGUGAAUGAUCAGCUUUUUCAGUUUCUUUUUCUGCUUCUG
Molecule: long non-coding RNA, 721 nt
Filed under: Serinus canaria (Common canary)
Lineage: Eukaryota; Metazoa; Chordata; Aves; Passeriformes; Fringillidae
Description: lncRNA (ENSSCAG00000001603.1)
Source: RNAcentral